This is an RNA transcript of Leptopilina boulardi, 1206 nucleotides long. RefSeq lists it as uncharacterized. The transcript has 4 exons. Lineage: Eukaryota; Metazoa; Arthropoda; Insecta; Hymenoptera; Figitidae. The record is from RefSeq and is a predicted model, not a curated record.
UAAAUCAUUUUGAGUUAUAUUUUUGGGAGGAGAAAAAUUUAUAGCAAUUAAGGAAAAAAAAAAUAUGUUUGAAAACUAAAUUUAAAAAAUGUUGACACUCUCGAAACCGAGGCAAUUAAUUAAUUUUGUCCGAUUUAUGACUUGUGGUAAAGGAAAUAAUUCUGAUAAUAAAGAUUCAUGUGAGGAAAUUUCCGAAACAGAAACCGAGCAGGAAUCAUGUGAUAAAAAAGAAAAUGUUUGCGAUAAUAAUUACAAAGAGGAAGAUGAAGAUUGGAAAACAAAAUUUUGUACAACUCCAAAAAAAUGUUCACAAUUUCCAAUACCUGAAAUUGAUUUAAGCGAUCCUUGUGGUAAACAAUGUAGACCACCUCCACCACCAUCACCACCAGAACCCAAGGAAUCUUGUUUCUGUUAUGAUGAUAUUGAAUUAUGUCCCCCAACUGAAGAAAUUAGAAGACGAUAUAAUAUGUGGAGAUUAGCAAGUUUUGCUGUAUUUCCAAUAAUUGGUUUGGCAUUAUCAUUAAUAUUACCGGCUCAUCGAAAACAUCAGGAGGAAAUAGAGGAGAGAAUGAGAAAUUCAGAGUUUAUUCCUUAUCCAUAUAUGCAUCGUAUAACAAAACCUUGGUGGUGGGGAGAUGGACAUCAUGGUUUAUUUUUUAAUCCAAAAGUAAAUAAAGUUCCACCCGAAUUCGAUCAGACAAUUUCCAAAGAGGAGAAUAAAAAUGAUAGUAAAUGUUCAGAUACAAAUGAAAAUGAUUAUGCAGAUGAAGAUGAUAAUUACAAUGAAAAUUAUAAUGAUAAUAGUUAUGGACAAGAAACACAAUUUAGAAAUGGAUAUCCCUAUGGAAAUGGAAGUAGAAAUGGCAAAAAUAAUAGAAGAAGAGAAAAUUGAAAACGAAUUUUAUAAAUUUGACGGCAAAUAGCAUGAUUUUUGAUCGAAAAAAAAUUUACAUACUAGUAUCAAUUUUAGGAAGAAGUCUUAUAAUAAUCGAGGAGAGAAAAUAAAGCUUUUCUAUCUAGAAUACAAAUUUCUAGAACUCCUUUUGCCUUUAUAUAUGGUACGAGGUCGAAUCUUCCAACUAAAAGCAUUCCUUUCAAAAGAAUCAUAUCUUUUCAUACAAACUAUUCAUCCACGAAUUUUUACGAAAUAAUAUACUUAAAAGAAUAACUAGUACAAAAUGAAAGAUCAUUCAAGUUUAUUGUAGA